GGAAGCGUGCCCGAGUUAGGGUUUACACUGAUAGCGUAGCCACGGAGCUCUUGCUCCCGCCUCCC
This 65-nucleotide transfer RNA is filed under the name Psammophis lineolatus. RNAcentral's name for it is "tRNA-Ile". Lineage: Eukaryota; Metazoa; Chordata; Lepidosauria; Squamata. The record is from RNAcentral.